Molecule: ribosomal RNA, 1242 nt
Filed under: metagenome
Description: bacterial LSU rRNA
Rfam family: Bacterial large subunit ribosomal RNA
Source: RNAcentral
UGAGUACGAGAUGCUACGGCAUCGAAGCAGUCUAUGUCAUACUUCCAAGAAAAGCUUGCACUGUCAGAAACAGAUAAUGCCUGUACCAUAACCGACACAGGUGGGUAGGUAGAGUAUACUAAGGGGCGCGAGAUAACUCUCUCUAAGGAACUCGGCAAAAUGACUCCGUAACUUCGGGAGAAGGAGUGCCUUAUUUUUAAGGUUGCAAUAACAAGAUCCAAGCAACUGUUUACCAAAAACACAGGUCUCCGCUAAGUCGUAAGACGAUGUAUGGGGGCUGACGCCUGCCCAGUGCCAGAAGGUUAAAGAAGUCGGUUAGCAUUCGCGAAGCUGGUAACUGAAGCCCUGGUGAACGGCGGCCGUAACAAUAACGGUCCUAAGGUAGCGAAAUUCCUUGUCGGGUAAGUUCCGACCUGCACGAAAGGCGUAAUGAUUUGGAUACUGUCUCGGAGAGGGGCUCGGUGAAAUAGACUUGUCUGUGAAGAUGCGGACUACCUGCACCUGGACAGAAAGACCCUAUGAAGCUUUACUGUAACUUGAAAUUGAAAUUGGACUUUAUUUGCGCAGUAUAGGUGGGAGGCGUUGAAAAUAUUCUUGCGGGAAUAUUGGAGCCAUCAGUGAGAUACCACUCUUGUAAUGUUAGAUUUCUAACUUUAUAUCAUUAUCUGGUUAAAGAACAGUUUCAGGCGGGCAGUUUGACUGGGGCGGUCGCCUCCCAAAUGGUAACGGAGGCGCACAAAGGUUUCCUCUGAACGGGUAGAAAUCGUAUCUAGAGUGUAAAGGCAUAAGGAAGCUUGACUGUGAGACCUACAAGUCGAGCAGGGACGAAAGUCGGUCUUAGUGAUCUGACGGUGCUGAGUGGAAAGGCCGUCACUCAACGGAUAAAAGUUACUCUAAGGAUAACAGGCUGAUCUCCCCCAAGAGUUCACAUCGACGGGGAGGUUUGGCACCUCGAUGUCGGCUCAUCGCAUCCUGGGGCGGUAGUACGUCCCUAGGGUUGGGCUGUUCGCCCAUGAAAGCGGUACGCGAGCUGGGUUCAGAACGUCGUGAGACAGUUCGGUCCAUAUCCGGUGUAGGCGUUAGAAUAUUGAGAGGAGCCUUCUUUAGUACGAGAGGACCGAGAAGGACAUACCUCUGGUGUACCAGUUAUCGUGCCAACGGUAAACGCUGGGUAGCUAUGUAUGGAGUGGAUAACCGCUGAAAGCAUCUAAGUGGGAAGCCCACCUCAAGAUAAGUAUUCUC